RNAcentral lists this ribosomal RNA (364 nucleotides) under Mindarus abietinus. Its description in RNAcentral is "partial 12S small subunit ribosomal RNA". Lineage: Eukaryota; Metazoa; Arthropoda; Insecta; Hemiptera; Mindaridae. The record is from RNAcentral.
UUUUAGUCUUAUUAGAGGAACCUGUUUUUUAAUUGAUAAUCCACGAUUUAUUUUACUUAUUUUUUAAAAUUCAUAUAUCGCUGUCAUGAAUAUAUUAAAAAAUUUAUUUUCNUNUAUUAAUUUAUUAANNUAUGUUAAGUCAAGAUGUGGUUUAUAAAUAAGAAAAUAAUGGGUUACAUUAAAUUUUAUUUUUAGAUUUUACAUGAAAAUUAAAAUGAAAUUNAAUUUAAUAGUAAAUUUAUUUAUUUUAAUAAUAUGAAUAAAGAUCUAAAAUAUGUACAUAUUGCCCGUCAUUCUUAUAAAAAAUAAGACAAGUCGUAACAAAGUAAAUGUACUGGAAAGUGUAUUUAGAAAGAUUAAAAAA